Molecule: ribosomal RNA, 442 nt
Filed under: uncultured bacterium
Lineage: Bacteria
Description: partial 16S ribosomal RNA
Rfam family: Bacterial small subunit ribosomal RNA
Source: RNAcentral
CCUACGGGAGACAGCAGUGGGGAAUAUUGGGCAAUGGGCGCAAGCCUGACCCAGCAACGCCGCGUGAAGGAAGAAGGCUUUCGGGUUGUAAACUUCUUUUAAGAGGGAAGAGCAGAAGACGGUACCUCUUGAAUAAGCCACGGCUAACUACGUGCCAGCAGCCGCGGUAAUACGUAGGUGGCAAGCGUUGUUCGGAGUGACUGGGUGGAAAGGGCGUGUAGCCGGGCUGACAAGUCAGAUGUGAAAUCCCGUGGCUCAACCACGGAACUGCAUUUGAAACUGUCGGUCGUGAGUAUCGGAGAGGCAGGCAGCAUUCCUCGUGUAGCGGUGAAAUGCGUAGAUAUUAGGCGGAACCCCAGUGGCGAAGGCGGCCUGCUGGACGACAACUGACGGUGAGGCGCGAAAGCGUGGGGAGCAAACAGGAUUAGAUACCCUUGUAGUC